Molecule: non-coding RNA, 75 nt
Organism: Merluccius polli (Benguela hake)
Lineage: Eukaryota; Metazoa; Chordata; Actinopteri; Gadiformes; Merlucciidae
Source: the annotation of a GenBank genome assembly
GCAGCAGUGGCUCAGAGGGUAGAGUGGGUUGUCUGGCAAGUGGAAGGUUGCUGGUUCAAUCCCAGGCUCCUCCUA